Molecule: ribosomal RNA, 253 nt
Filed under: uncultured bacterium
Lineage: Bacteria
Description: partial 16S ribosomal RNA
Rfam family: Bacterial small subunit ribosomal RNA
Source: RNAcentral
UACGGGGGGGGCAAGCGUUGUUCGGAAUUACUGGGCGUAAAGGGCUCGUAGGCGGCCAACUAAGUCAGACGUGAAAUCCCUCGGCUUAACCGGGGAACUGCGUCUGAUACUGGAUGGCUUGAGUUUGGGAGAGGGAUGCGGAAUUCCAGGUGUAGCGGUGGAAUGCGCAGAUAUCAGGAGGAACACCGGUGGCGAAGGCGGGAUCCUGGGCCAGUACUGACGCUGAGGAGCGAAAGCGUGGGGAGCAAACAGG